Molecule: long non-coding RNA, 1334 nt
Filed under: Capsicum annuum
Lineage: Eukaryota; Viridiplantae; Streptophyta; Magnoliopsida; Solanales; Solanaceae
Description: long non-coding RNA (CANN_LNC017955)
Source: RNAcentral
UCUUCUUCACAUUACACACACUCACAUACGAAACAGAGGGCUGAUAGGUAUAUACAAAGAAUCAACGCCCUCCCAUCGUCACUCUGAACACACGAAAAACACACACAAAAACAUGGAAAAUAGGCCAUAGAAAUACCAUUUUUUUUUUACUUUCUUUCUCCUUUCUUUCGCAACACACGCAUACAUACACAAAAAUCGCACACACAUCUCCCUCAAAAUCACAAGCCACGCCCUCAAAUAUCAUCGAAAACACAGGUUUCGUGAGUGGGUCACUUUUUCCGGCGACAUACUCAUCGGAAUCGUGUCAAAGUCGUCGCUAACACCUCCAAACUCGUCAGAAUCCGGUCUGAGUUUCUCUUUCUUAUGAUUUUAGCUCAGUUUAUACUGGUUUUUAGUUUCUAUUGAAUAUUGGAGUGUUGGGGUUCUCUCGUUUUGCAUUUUCAUCAUCGACAUCAGGCCGGGGUCUGACUGUUUUGGUUUGUUUUGGUUGUUGUUCGCUCACCAGAGUGCAGUUUCGAUCGGGGUCAGUUGUCUAUCUAAUUUUAAAGGUGGUUCGAGUUUGUCUGUUUUGGGGAAUUAUUAUUGAUAUCGUGUUUUGGAUCUUUCGAGACAAAGUCGAGUUAAUAUUCGGUUUUGAGUUUCAUUUUGUUGUUUUCUUAUUGGUUUGAAAUCUGUUCGGAUGGCGAUUGCAGGAGACUGAUUGAUUUUGUUCUUUGUUGGGGUUCUCGGUUUGAGGAUUUUGGAUUUUGAAAUUUCCCUAUUAUCGACGAAAGCAAUUUGUCGAGGUCCAUUUCUUUAACUUGUUUCCUUUUCUUUUUUUGAUGGAUUGAAUUGGCUAAAUAUGUGCUUUAUUGAUUAUGUUUGUUUGAUUUCGUUGAUGUUCGUGCAUCUGAUGAUGGAAUAUUGAAUUAUGAUUGAUUUGUUGUUUAAAUUUCGUUUAUAAAAUUGAUUAAAGAUGAUUGAAUUUGUAAUUGUGAAUCAUGGGAAUUUGGUAUUAAGAGUGAAUUUGGGGGUGGAGUUGCGAGAUUGAUAAAAAUGGACGAAUUUAGAUCAAUUUGAAUUAAUGUUGGUUUUGUUAUUGUUUUGUUCACUUCAGAAUCAAUAUCAAGUUUGUGAACACAAUAGGAGCAUAUUUUAGGCCGAAAGCUUAAUAGGCAAAGCGUAGGUCGGGUAGGCAAAUCUAGAGAUUGUGGACGGAUGGAAUGUUUGAGGUGUGUGUUGAAAUGGUUUGUUUUAUCGCAUUCGUCUCAAUUGUACUUAUUUAGCCGAGGAAUGCCCUAGUUCAUUUGUACUUAUUUACCGGGGAAUACUCCGAUGUACCAUGUAUGCAAAGG